GGUACUUGUACCGACUGGAUGAGCAGCGAACGGGUGAGUAACGCGUGGGGAAUCUGCCUUUGAGCGGGGGACAACAUUUGGAAACGAAUGCUAAUACCGCAUAAAAACUUUAAACACAAGUUUUAAGUUUGAAAGAUGCAAUUGCAUCACUCAAAGAUGAUCCCGCGUUGUAUUAGCUAGUUGGUGAGGUAAAGGCUCACCAAGGCGAUGAUACAUAGCCGACCUGAGAGGGUGAUCGGCC
RNAcentral lists this ribosomal RNA (241 nucleotides) under Lactococcus lactis. Its description in RNAcentral is "partial 16S ribosomal RNA". It matches the Rfam family "Bacterial small subunit ribosomal RNA", at positions 75 to 309 of the family's 1533-position model. Lineage: Bacteria; Bacillati; Bacillota; Bacilli; Lactobacillales; Streptococcaceae. The record is from RNAcentral.